UAUAAGGAGACAGGACUUUUACUUUUUUAAUCUUCUGACCGUGGAUAUAGUCUUCCUUUGUCGAAAAAAAAAAGACGCUAUGUUAAAAACAAAAUACAAGAAUUGUGGAAUUAAAUUGCGUAUCAAGCACACUCCCGCUUCCUUUCCUCAGCCUUUACAGAUAUGCAACAUCCUUGCUGUACUAUCAUGCUUCAUUUACCGACAAAGCUUGAUUUUCAGAAAUUACAGUAAUUUAAAUAAAUUCUAAUACAACCA
Molecule: long non-coding RNA, 255 nt
Organism: Argiope bruennichi
Lineage: Eukaryota; Metazoa; Arthropoda; Arachnida; Araneae; Araneidae
Exons: 2
Source: RefSeq, a predicted model, not a curated record